This 292-nucleotide ribosomal RNA is filed under the name uncultured bacterium. Its description in RNAcentral is "partial 16S ribosomal RNA". The record is from RNAcentral.
GGACUACCGGGGUUUCUAAUCCCGUUCGCUCCCCGAGCUUUCGCAUCUCAGCGUCAGUGAUGGCCCAGUAGGCCGCCUUCGCCACCGGUGUUCCUCCUGAUCUCUACGCAUUUCACCACUACACCAGGAAUUCCACCUACCUCUGCCAUCCUCAAGACUGCCAGUUUAGAGCGACCCCUCCCAGUUAGGCCGGGAGAUUUCACGCCCUACUUAACAGCCCGCCUGCAUGCGCUUUACGCCCAGUAAUUCCGGAUAACGCUUGCCUCGUACGUAUUACCGCGGCUGCUGGCAC